AAGGUUUUGAGGACAUCGCUGACCACACUGAAUAUCUGGAAAAUCAGUCUAGAAGAAAUAACCUGAAAAUCCUUGGCGUCCCCAAGAAUCCUGAUGAAGAGUUCUGGGAUGAGACUGAAAAGAAAGUCAAGGCUUUGGUAAAAUCUGAGCUUGGUGUCUCUGAUGAUUUUGAAAUAGAAAGGGCACACCAUGUCUGUCGUUUUCAAAAGAAUGAGAAAGGUCAUAGAUGGAUUAAUGACACCAACCAGACGCCUAAACCAGAGCUGCGAUGUAUGGAAUCAUUGUCUGGGGUCUUACCUAUGACAUCCACACCAAACCGAUUUACCUUCUACAAAAGAGAAUUGUUAGGGCUAUUGCUUUCAAGAAUUUUACAUCACCAUCUACACCUAUUUUCUCUGAAUUGAAAAUUCUAAAGUUAAAUGAUUUAUUUCACUUUAUUUCACUUUCACAUAAUUUUUUUGAAACUUUGUCUACCGUUCAUCAGUAUGAUACAAGGCGGGCUGGCAAAGGUGAAUAUUUUUAUGACGCGCAAGAAUACUUUGCAAUAUGGCUUACAAUCUAUUAAAUAUACAGGGGCUAUAUCCUGGAACGACAUUCCAUCCGAUAUCAAACAAUCUAUUUCACUAGUGAUUUUCCGUCGUGAUCUGAAAUUGUAUCUGUUCUCAAAUAAAUACCAAUUUUGCAUACCUUGAUAAAAUAAUUCUUCCUUACAUUGAUAAAUCGAAUCACUAGAAGAUUUCAUAAAUUGAAUGAUAAGUUUUUAGCUUAGGGGGUGCUCUCUCCUCGAUUAGUCUACCUACUGAGAGAGCUCCUCCUUAAGAAAUUCCUCUCCAUACGAAAUUCUAUGUACUCUUAUUGUAAAAUUUGUCAUUUUUUGUCAUCUGUUGUAAUUUUUUAUUCUAGUUAAUUGUAUGUUUUUACAAGUAGAAUUUUAUUAGAAUUUUAGAAAGAUUUUUGUAUGUAGUGGAUUUUUAAAAUUAAACUGAACUGAACUGAUGUAGUUUAUAAGAAAGACAAAGAAGGACCAAAAGAGCCUAAAAUAACAUAUGUAGCUGAAUAAAACAUUGAUGCAAUAUUUACAUCAGAACCACCACAAAAGCUUUUACAUCAAAAAUAACUCAUGUUACUUCUUUUUUAGUAAUUCUUUGGCUAAAUGAUGAAUCAGAAAACUUGACCUUGCACUAGAAUCAUGUUUUAAAUCUGUUAUGUAAUUUCCAGCUAACUAAUUAUCAAGUAAAACUUUCAAUUGGAUUUUCCGCAAUUUUACUUUUGAAACUUUCAGAAAGCCUAACUUCCUUACCCUAUUUCAUUUCAUUUAUAAAAUAUUUAUACAAGAUAAAUCGUAGCAGCAUCAAUAUAUAACACUGUACAGUAAACUGCUUUCGAAACGACUCCUUGAAAGAAAGAGUCCAAAAGGUAAAAAAAAGGAAAUAUAUAAUAAUUAUUUGAGUUAAGUAAAAAAUGUCAAAAUAUUAAAAAUAAUAAAAUUUAAAACCACUUAAUUCUUUCAAGAACAGUUCUUUGUUUUCCUGAAUACGGAUGUUUAAUUAAUAGAGAGUGCGGGAAAAUAACCGACCCGAGCGAGGCUCAAACUCACGAACCUUGCUUUUGUACGUCAAGUGCUCUACCGCUGAGCUAUCGGGUCGUGCUUUCAAGCCAACACCCAAGGCCGAGUCAUUCACCCGCACUGCCCCUCUUUUUUACCAGAUACACAGGGGAGCCAUCGCAGCUCCAUCACCAAGUGCAGAGGACCUGAAGAGUGAGAGAAGACUGCCCACACCAGGAGGGCCAUCGCAGCCCCAACACUGGAUAGGGUUGAAGAGAAAGUUUACAGACAACAGGAUUUCGAAGAUAAUUAAUAGAAAGUGCGGGAAAAUAACCGACCCGAGCGAGGCUCGAACUCAGGACCCCUGACUUUGUACGUCAAGUGCUCUACCGCUGAGCUAUCGGGUCGUGCUUUCAAGCCAACACCCAAGGCCGAGUCAUCACCCGCACUGCCCCUCUCUUUUACCAGAUACACAGGGGAGCCAUCGCAGCUCCAUCACAAAGUGCAGAGGUCUCUUGACGUACAGAAUACGGAUGUCUCUUGUAAUUUAUUGUAAGUUAUUGCACCUUGAUGGUAGAAUCCAUUUCCAACUGCUUUUGUUCUGACUUCUGUUAUUUUUAUCAUGUAGAAAGCUGAAAUUUGUACAUAAGUACGUUUCAAGAUGCUUUCUAGGAUGAGCAGAGGAAAAGUUGAUGGUUAAAAUCUUUGUACUUCAAUUGCCAAAAAACCCUUUUUCUUGGUUACAAUAGCAACAGUUGCUAAUCAUCAAUUUUCUCUGCUCAUCCUGGAGUCUAUUUAUAUCUUCCAUUAUUGCAUGUGUGAUUUGCUUUUAGAAAGCUCACCGCAAUUUUCAUUUUGAGUUGUCUGGAGUUUCUGAUCAGUAAAUUAUACAUGUGCAUUCUGCGUCAUGAAAUAUAUGGCAUUUUGUGAAAAAGUAGUUGAAAAGUUUCUAGCUGAUAAAACUUAUGGUUUUUGGGAAAAUAUGGAUUUUUAAUCGUCAAGCUUUUUUCAGCUAUAAUUAACCUUUCAAAAGUAUUGAUAACCAAUUAUCCCUGUUCAUGCCGGAAACCUGGGCAUUAGUUAACAUGUUAGGCUUUAAUUUCAUUUACUAUUGUUAUGCUUUAACAAAAUGGUUUGUUGAUUUGGCAGCUCUUUGCUUUAACAAUCACAGUUUACUUGAUGAGAAAAGAAAACCAAUGAAAUUCUACAGGCAUCCUCAAAACCAACAAAUACAGGCUGAGUAUCAUAUAAUUUUUAAAACCUCAGGUUUGAUCUGGAAGAAAGAACAUAUUUGUGCUGAGCAUUGGAAAAAGCGUGUGAAUAACGGCACAAAAAAAUUUGCCUAAUGUUUCAGUGCCUUCGAGCCAGGUUGAUUGUCAUUGGAUAAAAAUGUAAAUUCAUCAAAGGUUGUUAAUGCUGCUACUUAUGUUUCAGCAAUGCAGCACGAAACUUUAAAGAAAACAAAGAAUAAGUGUAAAUUAGUGAUGAGGAGUCCAUGAAACCUCCUGCCACAUAUAGGAUAUGUUAUUCAGGAAGAUGUGCCAGAGAUUUAAUAGCUUAAUGCACAUGGGCUGUGUUAAGAUGUGAAGGAGAUAGAAUAAAGCACGGGUUGAACAGAACAGAAAGAAUAACUUUAUAUUAACUUCAAACGGCCUAGACACAUAACUGUAAUACUGUAAACUGUAAUCUGAAACUAUAUAAACAUGGGUCACAUAAAGUAAUGCUUCUGCGCAUGGUCAAUUAGGUUACUACAGGCUGAAGCACAAAAAUCUGAAACUCAUUUCAAAAGUGAGCAAUUUCAACAAAAUCAACACAACAGAGAAUUUUAUAAACUAUUUAAAUAAUUCACAAAUAAGUCAGUAAAUAGUGAACUAGGACAAAUAGUGUUAUUGUUAUUGCAUUGUUCUUUACUAAGUCCACAUGGUCUAUAGACAGACCUCUUGCCUUGUUUACAUUUUGCAGGAGUGACUUUGGAUGCGCGCGCAGGGUUCUAGUUAAAAAAAGUUGUUUUGGUUACGUUGCUACACUUGGAUCGUGGCAAAACACCAGCAUUCACACACUGAUUGUAAAUUUGACUUUGUUUGUAACGAUAUAUUUAAUUGAAAACACUAUUAACUUGUUGUGCUGUUGGUUGCAGCAAUCGAAAAACUGGUGGAAAGAAACAUUCUGUUUAAUUCCAUCCGGAAAGGGAAAACACCUUUCGAGAGAAGACAAAGGAAAGAUUGGAAAGGCUGGACGUAUGACCAAAUUUCAAGGGCAACUAUUUGCGGAGAGCAUUUCAUUUCAGGUAAAAUGUUGCUAUAUCUUUCGAGGCUAACUUUUGAGAUAUAGAGUUACUUAAUUACUGAAGGCUACGGGGCUCCCCCCUGCCCCCGCCAGUCAGGUCAUGAGGAACAUAUUUCAGUACCCCUCCCCAAUUGAAUUCCUUCCGUCAUAAAAAAGUUCUGGUGCUGCCAGUGGUAGGGCACAACACUAUUUGAAAACUGGUUUUGUAUAUUUUUUUUAAAUGAUGUUUUAUAGGUAAUUUUUAAAAUUUAUAUUUAUAAAUAUUUUGUGUAUCGAAGGGAAAUGAUCAGAUGACCCAGAACAAACUAAUUGGGUUCCAAAAAUAUUUGUGCACACAUCACAGUCAGAAAAAGAGAAAAUUUCAAAGCAAAUAAAAAAGAAAGCUCGGUAUGAACUCUUCAAAAGCAAAAGAGAGAAGUUAUCGUCCGCCUGGAAAAUUGAUGCACUGGAAAAUUCGGAACAAAUGGAACACAAAUUUGGAAUGACCUAUCAGUAGAGAUUAGAAAAUUCUCCUUCAAAAUAUUCUUGUGAAAAAAAUCUUAAAAUAUUUUUACAAAACAACCUAGUAAUCAAUGAUGGUUUUUAAACUUGAUCUAUACAUAGAUGAUAUUUUUCUGUGGAAGACUCAAAGCAACUUACAGAUGAUCUUUUUUACUUUUAGAAAUAAAAAUUAAGCAGAAUGCAUCUAAUUUACUAGGGGGUGCUUUCUCCUCGAUUAAUUUAUAAACUACUGAGAAAGUUUCCUCCUUUAAAUAAUUCCCUGUGUAUAAUACUAGCUUGUUUCUCCACUACUCUGUAUUUGUUAUGUUACGUUUAUAUUAAUUAACUUUACAUUUACAUUGUUUAUCUUUUUAAGCUUGGAUUAUUUCUAAUUUGCAACAAUUGUAUGUAUCCAGUGGAAUUUAAAAUAAAACUGAACUGAAUUCGAGCUCUGAAAGCAGUAUAGGGGAGGCAGAAGAAGGCUAUCAAAGUAUUGAUGUGGGUGUUCAAUGUGAGAUCAGCCUGACUGAUGAAGUGGCAGAGCUUGAGAAUAACCAGAUCAACAUGGAGAGGGAGUUAAGAUCAAGAAAUGAUGAAAGAUAUAAACUACACAAAGAAAAUACACCGUUAAAAAUAGGGUCUUUGGAUUCAAGGCCAUCAAAAGUUCAACAGACAUGGUUCAUUUUUUCACUGGGUUAGGAUCUCUAUCUGCAUUUUUAUGGCUGGUUCAUUUGCUUAAGUAAAAGGUUAAGCAGAUAAAAAAAAAUGUACCGAUUGAGGACCAUGUUGGUUGUCUGAAGGCCUAUAGAUGACUUCAAUUAUAAUCCUUUGUGAAUGUAAUUUUAUGUCAACCCAUACUGAUUCAAUGUUGUUAACGCUGUUUUUGACAAGGAAAGGAGCUACAUCCAGUGUUUCUUUGUAGUUACAACAGAACUCCACCUGUACUUCGAUCAUUUCUUUCCAUUUUGUAGCCGUUUAUCUUUAACUCCCUAUCAGAAUUAUUCUGGUUAAGUUUUGUUUUGGUCACACCAAGUAGGUCCAGACCGGUUAUUUUUAGCAUCAGCUUCACUUUAUCCAGUUUGUUUCUUGUUAGAAUGCCAUUUGAAUUAAUAUGUGCUACAACGAAAAUCUUAACGGAUUGAAGCACGAUGCACAAGAUAUAUGGGGAUUUAGAUUUGCGCCAUUUAGGCCCAUGCCAGAUCCCUAUCCUGAAGCCGCAGCUCCUCUCGCUAUUCGACCAAGGACUAAGUUUUACAAAUCCAGAGUUUCUUACUAUGGCAAAAUGUUGCAGCUAUCAGAUACAACGAGACUCAUUUCUCAUGCUUGCCUUACUUUCUGGCGAUAUCCAAUUAAAUCCAGGUCUAGUUAAGAAGCCUUGUUCGGUAUGUAAGAACCGAGUGGCUUGACUCACAGAGCAUUGGAAUGUGAUUCUUGUAUGCAAAACUGUCAUAUUGGGAAGAAAUUAACAUUUGUUUGAGUGUUAAGAACUGUAUAAAAGGAAAUCAAGUGUGAGUAGUGAUGCAAAAUCAGGAUCAUGAGCAUCCAAGUUGAAACAGGCCUUGCUGCCAUAACAAUUCACAAAAAAUCUGUGACCUAAGAAUGGGGUUCUUUAUUGUUUUGAUAGCAUUUGUUUUACCGGUAAGUAAAUCUUUAUUGCUAAGUAAAUCUGGGUUUAUAGAGCGUAUCUGGCCGACUGAGUGUACGUAGGCCUAUCCAGGAUAAAUCUGACCUGCAGCUAGGUACAACCCCAGUCAGCUACAUGAGGAUCCAAGUCCUGCCAUACAUGUACAGUUACCUGUUAACACCCAACUGUGUUUUUUGUCAAGGCACACCCAGACUUUGUAAUGGAAUGUUUCCUGGCCUUGGGGCCGCUUUCCAUUAUUAUGUGAAAAGCUGUUGGAACUCUUCCUCAAAGCAUUAUUCCAAAUAUGUAUGCUAGUAUUUAAGUGUAAAAAUUAUGUAAGAAAAUCUGAGUGAACUUUUAAGAGAUUUGUAAAAAGGAGCUGGAAAAUAAAUCGAAUAUGCUCAAAAUAAUUAAACUUAGUUUAAAUGCCAGCAAAAGUGAAUAUCUGAUAAGGGCCGCAAAGAAGAAUUGAUUCAAUAUUGUAUAAAUCUUUAUAAAAAAGAAUGAACAAAAAAAAGAACAAUACUACAAGGAAAAUCUUAAGAUAUUGAACUUCUAGACAAAGCUCACAAUCCAACUGUAUAUCAGAAAGUUAAGGAAGUGAACAAAAAGCCAAAAAAAACUAUAAGCUGCAUUAAAGACAGAGAUGGAAAACUCCUAACGGAAAAUGAAAAUAUGGCAGAAAGAUGGGCAUAUUAUAUUGAAGAACUAUACAAUGACAACAGAUCACCAUAUACAGGAGAAAAAAUUGGAAUAUGAAAAAGGUAAAAUAAAAAAAGAAGAGAAAAAGAAGACAUAGAAAUUAUUGAACUUCUACCAUAAAACAAAGCAACUGGCCUAGAUCAAAUUACUGCAGAACUUCUACAACAUAUGGGCGAAUCAGGACUAGACACUAUCCCUAUCAUCAUAAACGAUUGCUACAAUACAGGUACUUCACCACAAUACUUCCUCAAAUCAACCUUCGUUCCCUUCCCAAAUGCAGCCAACACAACAUUAUGUAACGAACACUGUAUAAUAAGCUUUUUCUUUCAUGCUUCCAAGAUUUUAUUAGAAAUGAUUAUAAGAUGAAUAACAUUUAUAGCAGAGAGAAAACUCAAUGAGAGUCAUUUCGGGUUCAGAAAAGGGAACAAGAGACGGUAUUUACCAACUUCGCAAAUUUAGUGAACAUGUGAUUGAGAAGAAAAGGAAACUGUUUGUAUGCUUUAUCGGCUCAUCAGCAACCUAUACUGGAACGAAAAAGCGACGGUCUGAACAAAUGAUGGAGAAUCCAGAUUCUUUUAAAAGGAAAGAAGAGUUUGACAAGAAUGUAUCCUAUCACCAAUCCUGUUCAACAUGUAAAGCUAAGAACUAAUUCAAGAAGCUUUAGACAAAAUGAUAUCAAGAUCACCAAUAAAAGGUACACAGAUGAUGCAAUAAUCAUAACAGAAACGGAAGAAGAACUCAAGCGGAUGAUUGUAAAACUGAACGAAGUAUGCAAGAUCUAUGUAAUAUAGAGUUGAAUGCCAAAAAGACGAAAGUGGCGGUAAUUGAAAAAACAACUAGGGACAAAUAUCCAAAUAACAUCUGAGAAAGUAGUUCUAGAGCAAGUCAAAAGUUAUUGCUACCUUGGGUGGCAAAUUACAGAAGAUGGAAGAUGUGUAGAAGUCAAGAAACGCUGUGCAAUGGCAAAACUGCAUUUCAACAUCAUCAAGACCUUUUCAACAGUAACAUCAACCAUAAGACAAAACUAAAUGUAAACCUAUGUAUGGUCAGUCUCUACCUACAGAUACGAAGCCUGGACCAUCAGAAAAACCACGAAUAAUAAAAUACAGGCUUUUAAGCCAUGGUUUUAUUGAGAAUGCUAAAGAUCAAAUGGAUGGAUAGAAUCAGAAAUGAAGAAAUAUUACAGAAGAUGAGUACAAUCCCUAAGCUGCUUAACAUCAUGGUUAAAAGAAAAGCUGUGCUUUUUGGUCAUGUUGCAAGAGGGUCCAGUGGUUUGGUUCUCUGUAACUUUGUGGCAGGGUAUGUUGUGAAGUAAGGUUGAGCUUGCCACGAAAUAAAGCAUAGAGUAGUUGUGGUUUCACUUUUACAUUAUAUUCAGCAACAAACAAGCAAACUAAGUAUAUAUUUAAGAGAUUUCAUAUUGAUGACCCAACUGUCUCUUUGCCUCGACUACGCUACUACUGAUUCAAAAGCAAGCUGAUUCAAUCAGGCAUCACCACAGAAAGACAUGAUCAUCACGCGGGUACCCAAAGAGAGGAAACUGGGAUUGAGGCCAAACCCAAGGAAAGGCUACAGUUCUAAGCACACUACCCCGAUUUGAUUCCCUACAGUGAUCAAACAGAAAUAAGUCGAUUAGGAUAAAAUAUGAUAAGCAAAAUACUGAAAAUGUAUAAUAAGUAUUCAAUCAAAUGUUUAUACAAAAGCGUAAUAAUGUGGUCAUGUUCUUUAUGUGAUUUAGCUCUUUCUCAAAAUAUGUCUACGAAUAAUUGAUCCAUAUGCCUGCACUGCGUUUCAACCUGGUUAUAACUGAACUGUCUCACUGCAAUUGUGCAGGCUGCCUGGUCGCUUUCUCUUGCACAGAAUGCAAUGAAUCAGAAUGACAAGGUAUUUCUAAAGGUACAAGCAAUUUUCAACGAUUGACAAAAUACCUGAUUAACGACCUUACCCUUUGUUGUGCAUACCUGCACUCUUGCAGAUUUUAAACUUUCAUUUGUGCCUGGUAUCAAUUCCUGUAUUCUGCAGAGUUUCCAGAACAUUAUUUUAUUCUGAUCAUCGUUGAGUAGUACCAAAUCUCCCACGACUAGUUCUUUAACAUGAAUUUUUGGCUUGAAAGCUUCAAUCAAUCGUAGCAAGUACUCAUUUUUUCAUUUUUCAAGAAAUGAUCUAGAAGUAAUUUGUCGAGUUCUGCCCUUUCCUAUAGAGUUUCAUAAGUACUCAUCACUUCCAGCUACCUGUCAUGGGGUAAAUGAGAUAUAUUUCUGCUGUUAAUGAGAUGUGAUGGUGUCAGAGGGAAAGAUAUACCUUACAUAUGUAGUAUCAUCAAAAACAUAUGCCAUGGGACGCGAGUUAAUGACACUCUCUACCUCCGUUAAAAUAGUGGCCAUUUCAUGAAAAUAUAGGCUCUCUCGCCCUAUUACCUUUAUUGCUUUACCGCUGCUUUUAGAUUCUGAAUAAAUCUCAGAACCCAAGAGAAUGUAGGCAACACUUUAAUUUUUGAACUGUAACAUGAAAUAUUGAAAACAUUGCUCAGUUGUACAUCCGGGUCUGCACCUAUACUAACCAUGACAUGAGUAACUUUUGGUUCAAAUUUCACCUUUUCCUGCAAUGCUUCUUUGCUUUGAAGUUCAUUUUGUGGUUGCAAAGUGGGCCAAUUUUCUGAAUCUGAUUGUAAGAAUUUAGGACCCUCCUGCCAAAAACAAUUUGCAGACAACAAGGGGUUGAACUUACCCUGAGAUGGUAAAUCGGCAGGGUUCUCUUGUCCUAGACUAGUUUUCCCUGUUUGAAAACUUCAAAAUGUCCGAUACACAGUGAUGUACAAAUCGUUUCAAGGGUUUCUCGUUUUUUAACCAGCACAAAGUGGCCAUAGAAUCGACCCAAUAGUAUGUUUCUAUGACUAGGUCUAACUCAUCGUGUAACACAGAAUGUUCGCUUUUGGCAAAUUUUGCCAUCAAAUUUGUGCUUAGCAGUUCAAGGUGUGGUAAACUUUGUUUUUUAGCAGGCGAAACCUUAGCUGUUGAAGCAACAAGAUGUACCCUUACCUUACCAUGAUCAUAAACAACCAUUAAACAAACCACAGUGGCAUAGGCAAGCUCACUGGUGUCGAACAGGCAAGGAUUUCAACUUUGGUAACAUCGGCUUCUUGUUUUAUGAAACAACAGUCAAGUUUAAUAUCUGUAAUGGUACUAAACUGGGAUAUUAAGGUGUCAUACUGCUUGGAAUAGUUUUCUUUCUGUGGCUCAUCCCGAGUUACCUUUUCAAUGCACAAUUCCUGGAAGGAAACCUCUAAAUUGAUGGUAAACAAACUUUCACAGCCAAACAGGUCAAAAAUCUUUGUGGCAAUUUUUAACAAGAAACUUCUGGUUGGAGGCAAAGAUUUUACAAUUUCAAAAUUUGAUUUAAAUCAAGAAGCAACUUGUCUGAAUCAUGAUUCCACUAAACACCAAGUAUUUUGGAAACAUUGGUGUUCUUUUUGGACUGGUUGUCUCUGAUACCUUGGGAACAGUCUUAGGGGGACUUGUGGAGACAACCUUCUAAAAUAUUGACCAUUUUGGAAAGCUUUUUUGUUGUUUGUCUUCCACUUGCGCAAAUUGAAUCCUGCUUUCAACAAAAUUUCUUUAGAUUUCUGAUAGAUUUAUAGUGCUUUCUGGGUAGACUUGACACCAAAAGACAUUUCGUCAGCAUAAAGGCGGCUCAAAACCUUGACAACCUUUGGGCUUCAUUCUUAAAUGAGGAAACAUGUUGUCUAGUGGAGGCCCCAAGGAUUGAGGGUGAUGGCUUGAGGCUAAAGAGCCUCAACGCAGCUGGACAAUAGACAGAUUCUCCUUUUAUGUUGUCAAACCAUAAAAAGCGUAAAUAGUCAUGAUCAGCUGGUUUGAUUUCUAUUUGUAAGAACGCUUUUUGUAUAUCGGAUGUCAUAGCAACAGAAUUAGCAGGAAAUCUUAACAAUGUAUCAAACGAAGAAGGCAUAAUUGUCACCAAAUUGAAGACAAUAAUUAAAUGAGAGUUGAUUUGACUUAGAUUUAGUCAUAAAAAUAAUAGGGCUAGAAUGGGCGGUCUUUUGUUUCUGCUGUUUGUGAAUGGCACAAGCAUAAUUGCUGCCGUUGGUUGGCAAAAAGCUGUGGUGGUGGUUGACAGCUCGGUGUCGUUAAAAUUGAGAAGUUGUGAUAAAACUUAGAGUAAUUGAGAGUUUGAAGGCAGUGAAAUGUCAGAUUAUCAAAAAAAUGGAUCAAUCAAGGUAAUUAGCAGUUAUUUUGAGAGAUUUUGUUUUCAUCAUAGCACUAGUAGUAAGUUACUUAGGCCUAUUAAAUUUUUGUUAUGUGGGAGUUCAACAUAGCAGCGGUCUCAUCACCAGCAUAAAGUUAUGUUUCACCUGGACUUGUUACUAGUCUCUCUAUCUCUAUUGAGUGUGAAUAGUUACAAAAUAGAACAAUAAAGAAAGAAGAGAAAUUCAUUUGAUUCAUCAGAUAUUAUUCGAAUCUUCUGAUGACCAAUAACGUCAAACAACAAUUCACUAUUAUAGUCUAAUAGUAUUAUAUGCUGGUUUGAAACAUUACUUAGUUUCGUGGUGAGCUUUUUGAAAUACAUUAUCAUUUUGCAUUGAGUCCUAAUGUGACUUUGGUAUCUUCGUGUUAAUUCUGGGGCUGAUGCCACAGCAUACUUGACAAACUCUAGGUAUCUGCAACCCACCCUGACUAGAAAGUAAAGGGUAAUAAUAAUAAUUUUUUUUUUUUUUUUUAAACAUCUCAUUUUCAUUGAAUACAUUUUAAAUUUACAAUUAUACGACUCGCUUUUACAGGCAUCAUAUAAUUGGCUUAUCUGCAUUACAAUAUUUAAAAGUCAAUUAGUUCGGGGCUUAGCCAUGGUUUGUUUCGACGACAGAAGAUAUAGUAGGUGCAGCGGAUAGAAAUGUUCAUGAGUUUCAUCAAGAUGGAUUUAGUUUGAUUUGAGUCAAAAUUAAGUUGGUGUAGCAUGUCAGAGAGAGAGGUAGAUGAGGUUCCCAGAAUGCCAAGGGCACUCAUAGAAAGGUUAACAAAGGUAACACGUUUAUAGGCAGGGCUCAGUUCCUUGAUAAGGUCGCUAUAUUUCCUAGCUUUUCGUGUACUGUUUUCGUCGAUGUUGCUUUCGAACCCAACAGUAAGCUCUAGCAUGUAAAGAUAAUAAUAAUAAUAAUAAUAAUAAUAAUAAUAAUAAUAAUAAUCGAAUGUUUUAACAGGAUAACCUAUCAGUACAAUAUGUACUGUUAUCAUUAGGGUCCUGAUACUUAAUAAAUUAAUGGUAAAAGAUCUAAAAACUGAUUACAAGAGUACACAGUUUGAAAUGCCUUUGAAGCUACAUCAAGAUGUAAAGGUUAAACUCACCAUAUUAGGAACUGCAAAAAUGUCAUGAUGUCAUUGAGACAAAUUCCAACCAUGCUCAUUCAUUCUGGAAUAAAACUACUAGCUUUUUGAGUUUAUGUCUUCUUGAUGAUCCAUUCUUUUUAACAUUUUUUUCAGUGAAAACAAGUCCAAAUUGAUGAUAGAAUAUAACCAAAUAGUGUUAUAAUUAUUAUGGAGAUAUGAUCAUCUCUCAGGUUCUGGUCUAAAAUAUGACACUGUUUGCUGUGUUCAUUUAUGGAUUGAAAAGUGUUGUUCCUUGUUUCAGAUAAAACAUCUGACAAGAUGUGUGCAUUAGUUUCUUGUGAUAAGGUUGCCUACCUGCAUAAGGCAAGACGCACCUUCCGAUCAACAUAGUCUACAACUCUGUAAACAGACCUGAAAGAUGGACAUUAUUAAAAACACACAUGCUCUCAGAGUGGCCAUGCAAAGCUGUAACACACUCUGGGCAUUCAAUAAACUCAAGCAACUUUUUGACAAUGUAUCCAGAUAUGUAAUAUAAAGCACCAGAGCGCCAAAUGGUGGUUGAAAGCAAAAGAUGUGAUACUCUUGGGUCAACUUUACAUAUUUUAUUUGCAUCAUUAUUUGAUACAUUGAUACAGUUGGUAGUUGAGGGAGAUUCAACCAUGUUUUUCAAGAGUAAUUGCGGUAUGGCAUAUUCAAACUGAAGUGCAGUUGGAUUAUUAUUCUAUCCAAAGCGACUUCAAAUUUUGGCAAAGUACAUUUCCAAUUGGUCCUGUGAAAAAUAAUACACCAGAAAGUAUUCAAAUUGGAAUUCAGAUCUUUGCAGUACUUUUUUGCUUAUGCUCAAUAUAGAUGAGGCUGAGAUCUAAAAUCCAAAUUCAGAUUUCUUAAGAAUGUUAAUGGUGCAUACACAGAGUGACUCAAAGUUUGUGCUGCAACACUUACUUUCAUUUUAUGAUUUUUCCACUGAAUGUGUUUUGUUUUUACCUUGUUCCCCAAAUGGAGGAUAUCUUUCUGUUGGACUCUGUACAGAGCUGGUAUAAACUCCUAAGAAAUUUUUUCCCUGCUUGCGGUUAAAAAAUGUUUUCAUGUCUGCUAAUGCAUUCCUUGCAAGUUUUAGCUUGUGACAAAAAUCUAAGAUUGCAUAUAUUUUUCUUCCUAUUAUAAAUGAGUGAUAAAAGGCUCCAUCUAAGUUUUUUAUGUUGCAUCAAAAUUUAGCUGCCAUACUAAGGUUUUUUGGAGCACCAAAAAAAACCACAGCAUGUACCUCAGCCCCUAUUUCAGUCAAUUUAUUUAUGGCCUCAAAGAUCAAUUGCUUUAAAACCUCACCAUUUCGUGAGUUGGUCAAAAAAUAUUCAAUUGGGCCAAACCAUUGCUUUUGAAGGCCACAUGCCAUUAUGACAAGUGCAUUUGUUGCUUCUUUGUCAAUUUCUUCUGCCUUUUGUUUCAAAACUUCAUUUCAAAAUUAGCUGAAUAAAAAAGAAAACGUAAUAGAAAAGCACCCAAAAAACUAUGAAUGAAAAAUGCAGGACAAUUAGCCUACUUUAGAGCAAGCGUGCAGAAAUGCUGGUUUGAAAAACACAUGCGUGCAAAUCCCCAAGACGCAGGACACUUGACAGGCCUCGAAAUUUCGGCUCCUUUGAAAAACUUGAAGAUGAUGGAAAUCUUUUUGAACAGUGAUCAAAAGUUUUUUCCUCAAGAUGGAUUAAAAUUCCUCAAUAUGGAAUUAAAUGGAUUAAAUUUCCACUCAACAAGCAAAUACAAGCAACUUGAAGCGGAGACUUACAUUAUCACGUUCUCUCAUUUUCCGCGAUCACAGAAAAGAUGUGAAGCAAAUUGUACCUGAAUGUGAUAGUGUAAUAGGGCCUUUAGCUAUUUUGACCUGGGAUAUAUGCAUGUUUAGGUGCUGUAUGCUCUGAAACAUUAAUUGGGGCCAUUUGCUCAAGCAUACCCAUUCCAACAGCAAAAGAACAUCUGACAUUUUUUUUCUGCAACAGCUCUGUUCCUUGGGCGAAACGUUUCAAGCUUUUAAGCAACAUAUGAUGCAAAUGAGCUUCUCUGUUUUUGAAAAUGGCUUUGAAAAAAGCAAACAUUUUACGACAUACUAAAAGCUUUUUCGUCUGACACUCCUCAGAGCAAAAACGUCAGAAUAAGGUUCCGAAAGAACACAAUGGAAAAUAUAUACCCAGUUGUGGAUCGAAAUAGGCCAAUCAGAAAAACGCAAGCACAAGACCGGUAUAGUUGACCAAUCAGUGCCGCGAGCCUAAAGAAAAAUUACCAAUGGAGUCAAAGAGAGAAAACGAACUCCUUUUGUCUACACAAUGGCGGCUUUUUCGUUUUUAUGUAGAUUGACUCCAAAACUGCUAGAUGGAAGGACGACCGGGCUCUGCCAAUUAUCCGAAACAUGUCGUCAUUAUAGAGUUUUGCACAAUCUGGGUUGUCUAAAAGAUGUUGACCGAUGACAGAAUCACUUGUUUUAACACAGUGUUUCUAGACCUACAAGAUUGAGGAGGCUGUUCUCUUUGAGGGGCAGUUUUGUUUCAUAUGUUGGAAGGAGCAUGCUGUUUUAUCCUAUCCCCCAAUCUUUGGGUUGUGCGUCCUACGUAGCCAGAGUCACACUGGCACGUAAAUUUAUAAAUGACGGAACUUUUUUGUUUGGUAGGAACGCAAUCCUUUUGAAUGGAUGGAAGGGCUCUCCUAGUGCUGUAAACAAUCCAUGGUAGUUUCAAAUAAACUGGGCACUUUUGCGGACCAAACUUUUGAACAGCCGAAAAAACUUGCGAUCUUCUCCUCAGUAUAAGAUAAAAUGACGUCUUCAGGAUAGCCGUUGUUCAAGAAGAUCGUUUUGAGUUUUUCCAGUUUAGCGUGCAGUUUAGAUUCAAUUUUUCAUUCGUAAUUUUUCUUUAGGCUCACGGCACUGAUUGGUCAACUAUACCGGUCUUGUGCUUGCGUUUUUUUGAUUGGCCUAUUUGAUCCACAACUGGGUAUAUAUUUUCCAUUGUGUUCUUUCGGAGGAGUGUCAGACGAAAAAGCUUUUAGUAUGUCGUAAAAUGUUUGCUUUUUUCAAAGCCAUUUUCAAAUUCUGUACCGCAAAAAAAUUGUUCUCUGUUUUUCUUUUUUCUGGUUCUUUCAAUACCUUUAGACUAAUUAUCUCAUCCCUCUUCAACUCUACAGCUUUCGUUAUUUGCUUUUUUGGGAUGCACAGAUUUGAAUCAUGUUGCUCAUCUUUCAAAGAUUAUUCUUCAAGAGGCAAAUCAUCAAGUACAGGUGAUGAUUCUGGUGAAUCAGCUGGCCACUGCAAAUUAUCCCUGCCUCUUAAAGGUUGCAUAGCAGGUUGCAGAAACUUGAGAUGUUGCCAAUAAGUCCAGUUUCGCUUGUUCAGCUUAUUAGUCACUUGUCCAGAUUUUUUCUUUUUCACCCUUGUAAUUUUCUCGCCCAAACUGUGACCCCAGAUUUAAUAAUGUUGAUUCAAAUUUCUUGACAGUGGUUUCUAGUGCUGUCGCCAUUUCAUCUAAAUCAUGCAUGUCAAACUCACUUUGGCUCUGGGGCCGGACCCAGACUGUCUGUUCUCAGGUGGGCCAGAUCAGAGAAAAAUGUCAACUCCAAAUAUUUACCUUUGUCUUUCAGUACUAUGCCUUAUCAUUCAGCCUACAUUUAUAGCCUACUCUUCAUAUUAUCAGAGACGGCGCCACGAAAUUGAACCUGAGGGGGGCUAAGAAUCAAGUUUAGUGACUAGGAAGACCCACCAUGGUUGGGUCCAACUCAAAAGGAAAAGUUUGAAAUCGAGCCUUCUAGAGUGGCUAAAGAUGCAUCUCCAGGGCUAAGAGGACUGUAUAUAUAUUAGAAAUAUGAUAAUCUUAUAAUCUAACAAAGACUAAAAAAGGAAAUAGGCAACGAAUAAUUAGAGUGUAAGAGGCCAAGAAUGUAAGAGUUCUUUUCUUCAGAAUUUCUUUGACAAUAUUAGGCUUCAAUCAAUAAAUGGAAAGAUUUCACCUGGCUAUGUUCUUUGUUCUUAGUGUUCUCUUAGUAUCAAGAGCGAUUUCUUAGAGUUUAAGGGCAAUUUCGUUGAGUUUCAAGAGCGAUAGUUCUUUGAGAAUCGAGUUCGAGGUUGAGAGUUUUUUUUUUCCUAGGUAUUGACACCUAUUUCCAUGUUCCAACAACAAAACAAAAAACCCAGCAGAAACAAAGCACACAUCAAAAAAUAAACAAAGGAAACAAAACGAGGUUGGGGGACAUUUCCACACAGAACUGACAUUGUAAAUCAGAUAAGAGAAGAGCAUACUUGCUGUGUUUUUUGUUGCACUUGUGUCAAGAUUAGAUUUUAAACCAACAAUUAUCGCUAAGAUGUAGAGGUAAUUUUUGUUAGUUUCCAUAAGAAGAUCAGGGAGGUUUUAUCGAGCUAUGAUUGAGGGUGAAAGAUAGCCUUGUAUUUAAGCGUAGAUGAUAGAUUCAGUAACAACUUUUAAAGAUUAGCUUUUUAGGUUGAAGAUAGAGUUAUGUCACCAGGUAUAUCAGCCUUGUUCCAGAUAUUUUUUGCAGCCAGGAAUAACGUCUAGGAGGGUUUCUUGCAGAAACAGAAAGAACAGUCAGAGCUCUGGCUCAAGUUCCACUUUUUCAGGUUUUUCUGUGUAGCAAGGAUAGUGUUUAGGUACCUUAUUGUGCAAUUGAAAAAUAUUCUGAGCCAUGCUAGUUUGUACCUUGGACCAAAGUUUUUUAUUGGGGAAGAUCCUGGAAAAAAAUAUGUAAUAAAAAAGAUUAUUGGGAAGUAAGGAUUUUUGCAGAAAAUCUUUAUGCUCUUGCUGGACAGCUUUUAAUGCUUCUUUCUUGUUCCUAUAUAUAUCAUCUUGUAUAUUUGUGCUAUUGCUGGUAUUUUUCCUAUAUAUAUCAUCUUGUAUAUUUGUGCUAUUGCUGGUAUUUUAAAAACAGAUUUACACUGAAGUAAUUUGGCAGAGGGAGUCCAAACUAGUCUUUAGAAAGAAUAAUGCUACUCAAGGCAAGCAUUAUUUAGAAAGAAUAAUGCUACUCAAGGUAGGACUUAUUAUGAGGUCGAGCCAUUGAUGAAUGUAUUUGAAUACGAGGUUGUAAAAAUUCUUGGCAACCCACAUCUUUGAAAGAUCUGGUACAGCAAGUUUCCAAAAGAUUUUAAAAAGAAGAAAGCUGUGAUAAAGAUGCAGUUUAUUUUCUGUACGAAGAGGCUGGGAAUAGAUUUGUUUAAGCAUGUUGGACAGUGAUGAUAAAUAGUCAGAUUUAUGUUCUUGGUUUGUUAUUUCAAAGUCAAAAUAAUGACGAAGAUACUUAAAAGAGAGACAGAUGGGAUGGAUUUGUUGUUUAUGAAAAGCUGAGGGCGAUACUGAAGAGAAUGUCACGAAAAUUUCUUUAUUCAAAAAGUGAUGCUUUAUCAAUACAUAUGAUCAUGUUAGCCCUUUGGUACCAGCGAGUGAAACAAUGCAAUAUAAUUUGGUUUCCUUUCUCAUUACUGGUGAUAACAACAGCAUCGUCUGUGAAUAUAAACAAAUAGACUGGUUGAAAAAUAGACUGGUUGAAACAUACUGUUGUUCUGACCAUGUGGGGAGAAACCUAACUGUUUGUACUUUUAAGCUUUUAUGCACUGUAUGAAUGUGUUGCAGCAUAAAUUAAAUAGUAAGGGACUGAGGAAGUCAUCUUGAAGCACAGUACAACGGACUGGAAUAGCAAGAGUAUUAGAGUGGCAAGAGAUAAGUAGUUGUAUUUUGUCAGGGAUCUGAUGAUGAGACAGUGCAGUGGGUUUCAAAUUAUGGUGUACUUCUCCAAAUGCAUUUUCAAGAUCGAGAAGAUUGGCAACUAGUGAACCUUGCUUGAUGUGAGCUUUGUUUAUGACCUGAUCCAUCACUGCAGUCCUCGACCCUGAAGAUGAUUUUCGCUAUGUUUUUUAAAAUCUUUGAAUAUCUUUGAACACUCAAAUCACACCCAAUUUUCACACAAACAACAAAAGCAAUUACUGCAGAUUUUUUCAUAAAAAUAAGAUGAUCACGUGGUUAUGGUGUAUUUUACAGACAAGGAAACCUGGACCAUAAAAAAUGCUUGAGAAACAAUUUUGGAGAAGUGUAAGCUUACAUUUAGAUUAUAUCUAUUUCAAAUUACUAAACAUAAAGAAAGCAUUGAAAUGAGUUGACAAAAUUAUUGUCAUAGCAACCGUUGCUAUGGAAACUGGAAAAACCAUUUUUCUUGGAUAACUAUCAACAGAGUAGACAGAUUAAAAUUUUGUCAACUCAUAAGAACAAUUCCUCUUACCAAAUUUGAUUGAAAAAUAUUGCAUGCUUCUUUCUUUAUCUAUUCUUAAAGUAUUAAAAUGCUCAUUUGAGAAAACGAGCUUUAAAAUUCUGGUUGCGCAUAUUUACAAACUCAACAUCAAUGCUUCAAAAUAAUUAACCAAAAAAGGUCAAAUUUGGGUCUUUAUGGCCCGUGACCAAUUGGUCUUAGAUUAUUCCCUUAUAUAAUUAGGAAAUUAAGUAUUUCUAAAAGGUACCUGUACAUAAGGUUAUAUGAAUUGUCUUUUUAGUUAUUGAAUUUUUCUUCUUUUUGCUGAUUUCUCAACAUAAACCAUUUCAAGGCUCUUUUCAUCGAUAAAAACUACAGCCAUUUUAUCCUUGUCAUUAACUUUGCAUAGGUCUUUGUCUGGCACUUUAUGGAUAGAAAAACCUCCAGAGACAUAAGCUGCUCCUGCUUUUGUAUUUUGUUUCCUGAUCUUCCUCAAAAUUUGCCUUCUUCUCUGUUAUCUGUUUUGCAUUUGGCCUCCGUUUCUUUACCCUUUUCUCAUUUGCAGAUUUGUAAUCUUUAAUAGUGUUUGAUCCCAAAGACAAAACACCUAGUCUUUUCAGCACAAUCCCAGCACUGCCUAACAUUCCAAGCGCUGCUUACCACAGAAGACUCAUUUGGGGCAUUUUGACCAAAGGACACUGUUGAGGGCUUCAUUUUGAUUCUGUGUGAGACCUUUUUGACAGCUGCUCAGGAGUUCAUCACCACAUAGUCUUUCGAAUAUAUGUUUUAACUCUCUCCUGAAAACUAAUGACAAGCACUCUCUUUGAUCAUAGGUUGUUGUCUGGGAAGCUCUGUCUCUCUGGAACCUACACCAUGAAUUCUCUCCUUCAGGACAAAACUGAUGUUGAACCUCAUCUGGCCCAUUGUCACCUUGAAUGCAAUGAUAAAAUAUUGCCCAAAUUGCUUUUUUCAUCCCCUCAAUAUUAUUUUUUGUGAUUUCGUAUGGCAUAACCAUAAUAUUUUUGCAGUGAGUCUAUUAUUACAUCAGUCAGUCUACCACAUCCUCCAACCAUUCCACCAUCUGCUAACUUUCUACCUUUGUUUUUAUUUUUGUAAAAUUGCGCAAAUUAGAACCCAUUCGCUUUUGGAUAUGCCCAAUACAAUCUUCUUUCAAAACCAAGUAUCCAUCUCCAAAUUUUUUGAAACAGGCAUCUGCAACUUCAGCAAAUGACGAUGAAUCAUCAUCAGCAACAUAAGUUUUAUAUACAAGUUGAUAUUUCUCCAUUGAUCUUAGAAACAUUUUUACAGCAGCCUCUUUUUCCAUUGCCUCUGAGGAGCCUUUGUGGUUAACUUCACAAUGCUCUUCAUAAUUAGAAUACCAAUUCUUGAACCUUUCUGACUCUUUUUUCCACUUCUCUUUUGUCUUACACUCAAAACAAAUCUUGGACUGUACUUCAUAAUCCAAUACUUCACCAGUCUCAACUGAUAAAAUAAACACAACACCAAGCAAAUAACUAUAGCCAUAACGUUUUUGCCAUGUACCAUCUACUGACACACAAACAGGGACAUUUGAAGAAACAACUUCUUUUAGAAUUAUCUUGCCAUAGCUGCAAGGUUCCUUUUGGGUCCUUACAGAGACGGCAAAUGGCUGCUUUACUCAAACUGGUUAGCAGAUUGUUAGUGUUCAUCACCUUGAAGCCAUGUGCAAGUUUUCUUCCUCUAGCUAGGCCAAGUGAGUCUUUACUGUACAAAUCCAGACAUUCCCUACUUUCAUUUAUGUACUCAGACUGUUCUUCGGCAAAUAAAGGACAAUUCCUCUUCAAUUUUUCUAAUGAUUUGUUGAUCAAUUUCCCAGAUGGACUCUUGAAAAUUUUUGGAAUCGUGGAGGAGGAACAUGGGCCUAGUUCUUGUGAUAGUACCACAUCUUUGUCGUCAUCAACUGUAGCGCUAUCGUUUCUGGAAGCCUCUUGUUCUAUGAAUUGUUUUUGCACUCCGUAAAAGCCACGUUUUAUUUGGAAUUGCUGACAAUGUAAAGAAACUGGUAUCAAAUAGUAUGAAAAUUUGGCGAACAAAGUUAACACCUUGUGGUGAAAGCCUCGGGGAUGUGUUUCCAUUUUUUGAGAACAAAAGGAAACAGGUAAAGUUGAUAUUACAAGGAAGGAAAGGCAUUUUGCUUUAGCCUUGUAAAAUUCUUAGAUUCAAGAAUGUCAAUGGUACUUCAAACUUUAGAAUGUCUUAAACACCAUGAAGCACAGGGAAUAGUUAAUUGAAACAGUCCCAUUUCUCAAUUACUUUCAGUUAAGGGUAACGACCAGAUUCCCUGUAUAGUAAGAAAUCUUAACCACAUCUAUUAUGUUGUGGACAUACAUAAAAAACUAUUUCAGUCAUUGCUUUGAGUGCAUGUUGAUCAGAGUUAAGGAUAGAAAUGGCGUUUUGUGUUUUACUUUUGUCUUUAAACAUUGUCAAUGGAAAAGGAAUGGUUAGGACAGCUUUUUGUCAACAGCGAUGUUAUUGUUCACAAUUACCUAUGUCACAAGAUGACAAAGCGGGAAGUAUAUCUGGCCUAACCAAGUCAAGAAAUUGUUGACCGAUGCAAAAUGCUGAAACACUUUGUGUGAAACAAAUUUUAAUUCAAGCGAUGUUGAUGAAUUUCCUACGUGCAAAGUACUUCGCACAGGAUCAGUUCCCAGCAAACAUUUGCAUAGGAAGUCGCUUGACAAUGGCGAGGUGAAAGAAGAACACUGGUCGCUUGUCAGGAAUCUGUCGCUGAAGGGGAAAUACACAUCCAUUUCAAAAUUUAUAAAAGGAGUUGAAACCUUGAAGAUUCAUCCCUGGUCUUACGAGGUUGCAGAUCGUCAGGUGAAUUUCACCUUGGCUGACAAAGAAUUUUGGGUGCUCGGUUUUAUGUUAGCAUUUAUGAUGAAUUUCCUGUGGCAUGCUUUUACUAUGGAUGGAGAUUGUCUGACAUUAAUGUGCUUGAGAUUCAACAGUAUAGAGUUACAAUGGAUAGUGCUUUUGUUAAUCACAGAAUAAUUGGCUCUACCAAAUAUGGAUAGUAACAAUCGUGCCACACUAGAUAUAAAUAGAAGUGUGCGGGCACAUUUUUAAACAAUAUGUUUUGAGACCAAAUGGCUGUGCUUUUGUUCUUGUGCCACGGUCGAAGCUCUGUAUGCUCCUGUUGAGGCCCGAGAAAUGUGUAUUGAAAUCAAUUGCAUCAAGGCUCGGUAUGUUCUUCAAUAAAGUGACACAGUGACACAAAUAUUUAUAAAAUGUGCUGUCGAGUAUGAACUUGCUUAGGUCCCUCUUAAAAACAAACAAAACGUGUUUGGUCUGCAGGAAACUGAUGAUUCAGCACGCAAGAAUUUUAUUAAGCUCGAAUUUGAGUUUAUUGCAAGGAUUCCCCUUGCUUUGGGGAUGGAUAUUCAAAGAAUAGUUGAAGAAAUUAUUAAAUCGCGAGACCAUGCAGCUUUGAAGAAACUUUUCGUGGACGAGCUAUCAAGGCUUCGCAAAAGUAUGCCUAGUUUAAUUUGUCAAGAAUUUGAUCUGGCUAAAGAAAAAGAUUGAUCUGUCAGUUGUAAGAACUAGCCAUUACUUAUAAAUUUUUAAAUGUAUAUUAUUUAGGUGCGUCCAGUGACUAGCCUACAUCAGUUUGCAUUGUUUUUUGUUUGCAAGUUGAAAACAUAGAGCCAGUAUUGUUUAAUGGUAAAUCGACAGGAACGGUGACAGCUUUGCGCUAAAUGUAACUAUGUUUUCGGUAUAAACACUAAACCGGUCUCUGUAUGCUCAAACUGGGGGUUUCCGAAAGACCAGAAAUUGUGCGUGGUCACCUAAAAUUGUGCCACGGUCAUGAUUUUUUCUACGUCUGCCCCUGUGGGUUUACUGGCAAUAAUACACUUAGUCAUGUAGUGCCGCAGAGAUCAUCUCAUGAUGAAACGGCCUUCCCAUUUGUCUGCAAGAAUUUUGUGCGAAGCAAAGCCUGCACUAUACUUUUAUAUAACAGAUGCAGUGCUUUGUGCUCUUCCUGUGAGUCUUUGACUGAGGCAGAAAAGCGAAAUGCUAAUGUGGUCACUGAAAGAAGAUUCAUCCAGCAAAGAAGAAGGCACCUCUGUCAGCAUGCAGAAAAGAAAAACUGAUGAUGAAAUUACAAGAAAGUUGCCCGAAACGUUCCCAAUUAGAGACUGAAUUAAAAAGGUUAAGAAAAGAAAUAAAUGAAAGUGGUUGUUAUGUGAGUGAUGAAUGGCACUGAAAUUACUCCUCGUAUGAAGUUCUUUUGGGAAGAGCAAAAACUAUGCCAAGUUAGAAAUUACAAACAUGCAUUUGCACCAAAGCCAGGUCUAACUGCUGCCAGAAUGGAAAGUGCUGGUGCAGAAAGAUAUGUUGGCAUUCCCCUUAAUGAGAUGGCUGGUUACACUGGUUUUGCUUGGUUACACUGAUCUUAGUGACUGAUUGAUUUCACUAUCACAAAGGCUCUAUUAAGCUCUGUUAAUUUCCGAGGUCCUAAAGGGGGAGCUUAAUAGAGACCGGGGCUUAUUGGGGAGGUGGGGCUUAUUUCAAAAAUGAAGAUCAAGGAUACAAAAAUGACUUUUAUUUUCCUGUACUUUUCUGGUUUUUUAUCUGAAAACGAAAAUGUAUAACUGUAAACGGGUCUUAAGCCCAGAUCAUAGUCGACGCAUUACAUCAAAACUUUUACCCGUACGCCUUAUUUCUCUGCGGGAGGCGCCAGCUUGUAUGGUGUCGGCUUGCCAAAGAGCUAGCGUACGCUAAAUUUCGCCCCAUAUCAGAGGCAUAGGUCUUGCGUACGGAAGUUUAUUCUGUUUUUCGCAAACCCGUAUGCCUUGAACUUAUCGAGUUGAGAAAUCUUCAUUUUUUUUUGCCUUCCGUACGUAAAAUUUCUUAGCAAUGGCCGAUUUUGAAAGAAAACUUUGUGAAGAGAUACACAAAUACCCCCAUAUGUAUGAUUCAUCGCUAGAAGACCGUCGGUUUGGAACCCAGGGUAAGAAAUCGGGACAAAUAUUAAAUUAUUGGACAGGAGCAAGAAAAAUGGCUAUUUAUACCGGAAUCAUUGACAUUAAAUGCGAAUCGUUGGCAAUAAUGGCACAAUCCCCGCAAACGGUUCGUAAAGUAUUUGUAGGUAGAAUAUACCAGCAUGUUUGCUGUUCUUUUUAUUUUUUCUCCAGACAAGUAGAAGGGCAAGAGGAACAUUCCUCGACGGCAUGUCUGGAAACUAUGAGCCGAAAAAGGUUAUGGCGUAUCGUUACAAGCUUCCCGCAUGGACAUGCAGAAAACUUACGUGUUUACGCUUUUUGGAUAUGCAAGAUGAAAAGGCGUAUGCUUCAAAGCUUACCCUUGUGCAGAAUUUAGCGUAAGCUAAUAAGUUCAGAACUAUGAACCAGGCUUUAGGCUGCAUGUCAAAAGAAAUGGUAUCCGAUAGUUAGUAUUUGGACCUCCCUUGUUGAAUAAAUUUGCAAAUCUUAUGCCAUAAUAUAGAGAAUACAGUAAUUCCUUGCAACAUUGGCUAGACUUCAAGCAGUUGAAUUUUGCAAACAUUUCAGACUAGAUUUUGCAACUGUUGCCAGAGGGCAUCCUAUUUACAAGAAGGUUUGGUAACCUGUUGUUGGAGAAACAUUAUUUUGCCAUCACAACAAAAAAGAAAAAGCAAAACUUUAUGAUGACUACGCUAUCGGCAUAUAUCUCCAUGGUGAUCAAGGGUGUCACGAACAGCUAGUUGGUCAUUUACCAAUAAACUGUCAUACUUGCUUUUUAAGUUUCUCGAUCGUCAAGGCUGCAAUCUCAGAUUCUUACCAACCGGAGCAAGAAUGCUUGAAGAUGGAUUGGUUGUUCCAGGAAUCUACACUGCACUGAAUGAUUCUUGAGGGCUGCUAGAGAUGUUGAAGACAAAACUAGACAGAAAAACUUUGCCUCUCAAACACAUGAAAUUAGAAACUGGCAAUAUUACAACGAAAUACAUCAUAAGUUAUCACUAAAUCAUUGCACUUUACUCUGCAGUCUUGUAGUGAUAACAUCUAAGAUUUUGUUCCCGCUGUGUUUUUCAUGCUACGCUUCGCUGCUUGUGUAUACCGCUGUGUUUAUUUUGAAAUAGUUAGUUGUUUUGGUAGAUAAUAACAUGACAUAGUCUCUUACUAUCGACUUCGCCCUUUAAUAAUUCGUCCUUCGAGACUGUUACUUUAUUAACAACACAGGCUGUUAAAGUCUUUCUUGUAUGAAAAUGGGUGGGGCUUAAUAGAGAGAGGGGGCUUUGAUAAUUGUAAUGCAUUUGCCACAAAUGCUCUUGUGUUUCCUGUUUGAGGGGUUUGUUCAGCGUUGAAAUCAGUCCUGAGCCAUUAUCUUACAGGAGUAAUGUCGUGUCAGUGAUGGCCGGUUAUCUGGGAAGCAGUGUUCAUGGUGGGGUUGAAAUUGAAUCUGUGGGUUGUCUUUGCUGUUUGUGAUGGUGCUAGUCAAAACAGAGAGUUUUUAGAAAAUGCAAACAUCACCAAUCCAAGAUCCAAUUUAUUUUACAAUCAUUAUUGCAGCACCAAAACGAUAGAUCUAUUUCCUUACUGACGUUCCACAUUUGAUUAAAACAACAAGAAAUUGUUUGUUGUUUUUUGGUUUCUCUGCCAAUUCAAAGCGCCUUGUGUUGAAUAAUGGCAAGCAUUUUCUAUGGAACCAUAUUGCCCAAGCCUAACACAAGAAUCUUGAGCUGGGUCUUCAUAGACUUGUCAAACUUGGACCAGAACAUGUAAAUAUUUCUCCAUUUGGCAAAAUGAGAGUAUCAUAUGCUCUUCAAGUCCUUAGUAAGACAAUGUCACUUGCGCUGACACAUUACUUCCCAAAAAGGAAGGCAGAUGAAACAACAAAGCUUUGCUCUCUGGUCAAUGAUUUCUUUGACAUCUGCAAUGUAAGAUCCACAACAAAGUGCACAAAAAGAGAAACAGCAAAAUAGAGCCCAUUAAAUCGGUGCUGAUCCAUGCCUUGCAUAGAUGAAGGAUUGCUUUUUGCAAUACUUUGAGAAAUGGUUUUAAACAAUAGAGGAGACUGAUGAGAUCUUUAAGGAAGAUAAAAGCAAAAUGUUAAUCUCCAAACAAACAUUUGAGGGAUACAAAAUUACAAUUAACUCCACAAUUGAGCUUAUCAGAUUUCUUUUACUUAACGGUGUCAAGUUUGUUUUGACAGAGAGAUUUAUGCAAGAUGUAUUGGAAGAAUAUGUUGGCUACCAAAGGUCCCAUGGGCGAAGAUGUGAUAACUCGAUGGCCAGCGAAUUUGGUUACAAUGACCAAAUUAUUAACAUGUAAUGAUCAUUAACAUGUAAUGAUCAAUAGCACCUAAGGGCAAUGUUAGGGGAAAACAUUCUCUGAAAUGGUCAAAAGCGAGUGAUGAACCACUUCCAACAAAACAAAUUAAAAAUAACCGUUAAUUUGUUUAUUGAUUUAUAUUUAUAAGUCUUAGGAUACAAGUAGUCUAUUAUAAAUCACAUAUUGAAUUGAAAAUUAAAAAGCUCAAAGUAAGGUAACCCAGCUCUAGAAAGGUAACCUUUAAAAAGGUAUUUGUAUGGCAACUUACUUAUUAUUUGAUGUAAGAACUUGAUUCCAUUUAAUCCCCCCUGGAAUUAGAUCUUCGGGUUAUCCAAAUCAGGCAACCAAAAACAUUCCAGAUUGAAGCCACCAAGAAGCUCAUUUAAAGCUUAUGGUAUAGAAAAACUUACAAUAAGGUAGAGUGAAGUCUUAUAGACAAGUUCCUUGUAGAGAAGACUUUUUAUAUAUUUCUAGUUCAUUUCAUACAACAAGUUACAAGUCAGUCAGUUAAUAUUAGAACAAAAUUAUUUCUUUUGGCGUUCCUCUGCCUUUUUCUUUAGUGUUUUCCUCAAUGCCUUUUGUUUUUUCUCAAGGUGUUGUUGAGCUAGAUGUCUUUUCCAAAUAUCUGUGGUGUGGGCAAAACCUCUAAUGCUUACAAACGAUUUGAUAAUCAUUUGUAAACAAAGAUCACUGCAUUCAAUGCUUCACAAUGACAUAGCAUCGAGAUUGUAAACGAGGUGCGAAAGCGAGAAAAGUCAUGUUCCAAUCUCCAAGACAUCAUUUCUAAACAACAAAUUCAAUCGAAACGAACUUGAGUGUUCCAUUAUUCAUCUUCCCUAAUUGGAAAUAAAAAUGAGCAACUAGGAGAACGAUCAUAACGUCAAGGCAAAUAAAAAGAAGAAACAAUCCCUAGGCCGACAAUGUGCAGCAUUUGGAUGCUAUAAUACUUUUUAUAACGUUGACGGAACACCAAGCGGCCUACAUUUUUUCAGAUUCUCUCAGAAGUACCCCGAGAAACUUUGAUGGUGCAAUUUGGUUAAACGAGUAGAUGAAAUGGAUGGAUUUAAAGUUACAGGCUCCAAUAGCUUAUGUCAAGUACACUUUGCUGAUGCUGACAUCAAGCGCAACCCAAAUCAUUGGCGAUUGGUAGGUGGUUCAAUGCCUUCCUUAAAUCUGCAUCCGAGCUCUGUUCCUUCUGUUGGGAAGAAAGCACACAAACCUCCUGUCGCCUGCAAAUUGGCAUCAUUUUCAGCAGCUAAAAAAUCAACAGAUGAUUUUGAGCCUCAGUUUAUUCAAUCAGAUGAUGAGGAGGUACAUUUGGUGCCUGUAGGCAAUUCUAUUUCAACACAAACAGAUUUUUCUUUUGUCGAAUUGUCCGUUUAUCUUUCUUCGUCUGAGGUAGUUGAUACUAUCACAAAGUCUCCAUGUCUUGACUGUGACAAAUUGGAACUAGAGCUAAAAGAUCUCAAAACCAAGAUACAACAACUUGAAAUGCAAUUAACAGAGGCGAAGAAAGCUCUGUUUUCCUUAGAUAAAUUGCAAAAAGACGAUUCUGCAACAAAAUUUUACACCAGUUUUCCCAAUUUCUUUUGUUUGAUGGCUACUUUUGAGUAUUUCAAACCUAAAUGAGAUAGGUUGCAUUACUGGCGUGGUAAAGAAUCAUCACAUAAAUCAACAAAGUUCUCUUAUCAUGAAAAAGAAAUUUCCAAGCCUGGCCGAAAGCGCACUCUUACCCAUAUAAAAGAGUAUGUUAUGAUUUUGAUGCGAUUAGAAAUGGGAUUGUUUGUAGAUGAUUUAGCAGAUAGGUUUGGUAUUUCUCCUGCACAUUUUUCAAAAGUCUUUACUACCUGGAUAUGUUUUGUGUUUCAUGAAUUGCCAAAUUUGUUUCCUUUUCCUUCGCAAGAACUUGUUAGAAAUAAUAUGCCUCAGCAAUUUAAAGAGUACCCAACAACAAGAAUCAUUAUUGAUGGCACUGAGAUCUUCACAGAGGUACCAUCUUCCUUGAAAUCUCAAACAUGGUCUGAUUACAAGUAUUACAAUACAAGGAAGGCUCUUGUGGGAAUUUCACCAGCUGGUUGCAUAACUUUCGUUUUAAAGCUAUGGUCUGGCAAAGUUUCAGACGAAGAACUGACCCUGAAGUCAGGUUUGCUUUCUUUGCUAGAAGCUGGUGACAAUAUUAUGGCUGCUCAUGGCUUUGACAUAGCAGAUAGCUUACCAGCUGGUGUUACACUGAAUAUUCCUCCAUUCAAAGGUUCAAGAAGCCAGCCUACUUCAGAGGAAACUGAAGAGACUGCUCGCAUUGCAUCCAUCAGGAUACAUGUAGAAAGAGCAAUUGGACGAAUAAAAAACUACCAUAUUUUUGAUGGAGUUUUACCAAUAACAUUGUUUCCUAUUUCUAACCAAUUUUUUACUGUAUGUUGUCUAUUAACAAAUUUUUUACCAUUUUUUGUGGAUAUGCAUGAUAAGAAUUAAUUGUAAUAAAUUUUAAUAAAAUAAUUGUAGUAAUAAAUUAAUGGUAAUUAACAUUCUAUUUCUGAUAAUUUUCCCAUCCACCAUGUAAGUACAACUUGCUUCCCUGUUUGACACGUUGAGUAAAAUAUUCUGGUAGUACAGCUCUGCAAUAAAAAUACUUACGUCUAGGUAGCAAAAAGUCUAUCAUGAAGUUUUCACCAUAAAAAUGGUUUCUCUCAACAAUGGCUCGUUGUCACCCAACCACACAACAAUAUCCACUUUUUUCAAUCCUGCACAGAAAAUUUGCCCUUGAAAUUGAAUAAAGUAUUGGUGUUUCCGUUUCAAUUUUAUGGUUCCAUCUGGAUUUUCCUUGAGAAAAUUUUUUUUGUGCAAAGAAGAAUUGAACUUGGAAUAUGGACAUUUUAUUUCAAGGCCAUAAGUUUCUUCAUUUGCAAACACUAGGCCAUCCAUAGAAGCAGGGAAGGCAGGAUUUGGGGAACAGGUUCAGGCUCUGGAGAGGAACUUGUUUUGUCAGGUAAAGAAGAAACAUUUUUGUGAAAACCAAAGAAAUCACUGAAAGGAACACGUGACAACAGUUUGGACUUCAAAACUUCAAGGCUAUGUUCAUUGAUGCAUCCGUCAUCAGGUGCACGAGGAUCAAAGAGUUUGUAUUUUGAAACAUUUGUCUGAUCAUUAUCCUUUCCAAAUCUGAUUUUUUGAAUGAUUACUUCAUCAAUUGGAACUGGAUUGAAUGCCUUGAGUUAGGUGGCGUUGGGGACAUUCCAAGAAGAUAACUUUGAGGUGCAAGAGACAGCAGAUUCAAAUUCUUGUAGGCCUUGUCUGUUGAAAUCUUCAAGGGCAAAUAGUAUACCACCAACAUGAUUGCAGUUGCCUUAACCUCCCAAGCCCAAGCCAGCUGGGCAAGUACAGACAGCAGAGCAGACAUCACCAGACGAGUUUGCUAGUGUUAGUAACACUUUGUAGAGAUGCUUCCUCAUUGAAGCCUUAACUCUGACAUCAAAAUAAGUAAAAUGGCUGUCUUUUGCUACUUGGAUCUUUUUUAUGAAUCCUUCAUAAAAAAAUUGAAAUGAUUUCAACUUCUUGUAGUCUGUACUUUUCAAAGUGAUGUGUUUGAACUUAGAUGUUCGAAUGACAAGAUACUCAUACAGUUGAACAGUAGUUAAAAGUUAAAAGUAGGCAUUCCACGCAAAUCAGAUGUCCAGGGCAAAUGUCUACACUGUUUAUUCAAAAUAGAUUGAUAAGUAAAAUUGGUCCCAACACAAGGAAGGGGAGAUGUUUUCAAACUGUCAGAUUGUUCAGCAGCAAUGCCUUUGUUCUUUGCCCUACAAAACACGGCGUAUGAACGAAGUACCAAAUCGGCCUUCACUCCCAAUGUCUUCUCCUGGUAACACUUCAAUAUUUCUUUCAAUUCCUUCACAGAAAAAUUGCCCAAAUCUUCUAAACAAGUGACUCUUUUUCCGUCGGGUAGUAAUGCAUUAAACUCAUCCAUGGAUUUCUAAUGUUUCUUUAAUGCUGGUAUGCGGGUUGUGUUGUUUAGAAAUGAUGUUUUGGAGAUUGGAACAUCACUUUUCUCGUUUGGGAUUUUGCGCCUUGUUUUCAAUGCAGGUUAUACGUCAUUGUGAAAUAGGUCUAUUGAGAUGAGAGAUGGAUGGCAAAGGCAAGAUUUCAUGAUAUCAUCAAUAGGGAUGGACCUUUGUGAGGAUUUGGUCAGCCUUCUGAAUGUAUUCUCAUCAGCUUUGUUGAAGGUUCCCACAAACCGCCCCUGCUCAUGCUGGCAAUGAAGGCAUUGUGGGAGGUUUCAACCGAUUAAAGUUUUGGCAAAAGGAAAUUUGAUUUCUUCUUGCCACGGGCUUUUUCUAUUUUUAAAAACAGCUUUUUUAUAAAUCUGGCUGAGAACUGAACCAGCAACAUAGGCCAACGGACCGUGCUCUUCCCGUCUUAGCCCCUUGCCAUAGGAAUUAUCCGAAUCACCAAGCAUUCCCUUUUUUACGUGAUACAGCCUGGCUGUUGCCAACUUUAAAAGAAAUAAAUUUGUUUCUUCCACACUUCUAUCAGGGAAAAAUUCGAGUGUUAUCACAAAAAUCGUUGAAUAUUUUGUAUAGAAGCUAUCAUUAUCGUUCUUGUAAUGUGAUAACAAAUUGUUUAUGAACGACUGAAGCCGUAGGGGAACUUCACUUGGCAGUCUUUCAUUUAAUUCCACACUGUACAUAUUUUCCUUCAAUACAUUCUCCUUAAUUUCUCUAGCAAUGACAACAAAGUCUUCAGCCUUGAGGAAGGGUUGUGAAAAAACGUGGUCUACACCAUUUGCGUACCUUUUGGCAUGGGGUUAGGAUACCUUUUGGCGUAGGGUUGGCCUAUCUGUUAGCCUGGCAAUGAAAAAUUUGGCGUAGGCUUGGUGUAACUCUGCAUUACAACUGGAAACCCCGAAAACAGAAAAAUUGCAUCACAUGUGCAUUCAAGCUUGUUGGGAGAGCACAUGAUGAUAAUUUUACAACUACUUUUGCAAGUUUGCCUCAAAAUAAUUUUAAUGAAGAUACUAGAUACCUACAUAAUUGCCAUUCAGAAAUACGGAACCACAGAAUAAGAAUAAUAUUCUGUGAUCGAACUGACUGAUAGUUUCUCUUACCAAGAAAUUUUAUGUGUUGGUACAGAAAAUAUAUUUACUUUUUGUUUACUUAAUAACUAUACUGUAAGUCAGGGGUCGGCAACCUUUAUAAACCAGGAGGCCAAACUUAGACUUUGAAAUGCAUAAGAGGGCCGCAACUCAAAAUACAGUAUAAUUUUAAUAUAUACUCAUUUUACUUCAUCUAACUAUUAAUCUAACCAAUAAAAAUGUAUUUAUCGGCAAAAAGCUAUGCUUUAACUUUGAAGCAGUACACUCUUUUUUUAAUGAUCAGUAAAUUUAUGUUCAGGCUUAUUGUUGUUAAAUGUUUUGGAAAACUGAGGCUGGAUUGUUCUCAUUUUGAUCUUAAACCUAUGGAGUAUAAGCAGUGCCAUUGCCAGCUUAAGUGUUAAGGCCUAAUUUGCCAACAAAGUGCGUGAGAAAACCUUUAUUUGCCACCAUGGUUGAUUGUUCAGAGAGAAAGCACCAACACAUGGCUAAAAUUCUCGUUUUUGAGAUAAAACGUUGUUCGAAAUUGCAUUUUGCAGUAGCUCAGCUUCAGGUUGUUCUUAAUUUGUUCUUAAAUUUUGACUUAUGGCUCGUGUUCUCACAAAACUGUUCUUUUAAAACAGAGUGUGCGUAAUCAAAAACAUAGAUACAAAAUACAUGUUCACUUUUCAGUAUGAAGCUAAUGCGCAACUUGGAGCUGCAUGUCCUUGGCCAACUUCUCAAUAUUUGGCAGAAUCGUUGAUGUUGAAAGACGCAUGUUGCCUUCAAGGUGCUGAUCAGUGAUUCAAGAUCGCAGUCAACUCUUCGCAUAUUUCAUCUUUGAGAAAAGACUUUCGCAAAGAUAAGUACUGCCAAACAUACAACACAUCUUCUUGGCAUGUUACACCAGACCUGGAUAUGAACCAUCAUCCUUGACAUACUGUUGAUAAAACUGGAUGAUAUCAGUUUCUUUGAAUUUUCGUUUCAAUUGACUGGUACCCUGCAGCUUGAUCAACUCCAUUUGAAGAUUUUCAGGGGCAGCUUCAACUUCGACUUCAAAUGGCGAAGCAAACAGCUUGAAGUUUUCGCCUUGACACUGCAUAUCUUUGAAUCUGCCGUUAAACUGCAUGCGAAGGUCACCAAUGAAAGAUGCAUACAUCAACACAUUGACAGGUUGCUGUUCCUGCAAAGUGGGAAAAUGAGCCAAGUUUCCUUGAUCCAACUGAGUAUUCCAAAGGCCUAGCAUACGUUGGAACGUCGCCACAUGCUCAUACAUAAUUGACCACGGCCUUGAAGCUUCUUGUUUAGCUUGUUCAAGUGACCAGUAAUGUCAACGAGGAACGCUAAUCUAGACAAGAAGCUCGGAUCACUGGAUUCAGGUGCUAUCAUAUUCUUGGCCAUCAUGAAAUCACAAAUCUCUUUCCGAAGCUGGUAGACUCGUUGAAGCAUUGCACCUCGCCUUAGCCAUCUUACCUCAGAAAGUACAACAAGUCGCCAUAAUCAGAUUCAACUUCCUGCAGUAAUUCCUGAAACUGACGAAGAUUGAGUAGAUGAAGUUGUCUUCACUACAACUUGCAUAACCUAAAAAAUAUGAAUUUAAUUAGUACAAAAAAUGUAUGACUUGGUAGGCAUUUUCUUCAAGUUAUCACCGGACCGUAAUAAACUGAACUGAAAACUGCAAAUCUGCUAAAUUUUUAAUUGAAACUUUACCUCUCUCAGUGAUGCAGACUUCGCGCAUAAUGCUUGCUGGUGAAUUAUACAAUGAAACUUCACAAGUUCAGUUUGGAUGCCAUGUUCCUUCAUAUGCUUUUCAAUUAGAGCAACCACGCCUUUCUUUUUUCCCACCAUUGAAGGUGCAUCGUCAGUUGUAACACUCACUAAUUUAUCAAAUUGCAAGUCCAGAUCUUUGCAACAUAGCUUCACUGCUUGAAAAAUAUCUUCGCCAGUAGUGGUGUCCUUCAUUGGAAACAAGCGAGCAAAAUCCUCCACAAUUUCAAAUUCCGAAUUCACACCUCGAAUAAAUAUGGCCAGUUGUGCAGUAUCUUUCACAUCUGUGCUCUCAUCCAAAGCAAUGGAAUAAUAUUCUAGAAUAAUAUUCAAAAAUUUUUCAGAGAAUUUUUCACAUCUGAAGACAUAGCUUCUAUCCUCCGUGUUACUGUUCUUGCAGAAAGAGAAAUGUCAGAAAACAGUUGUUUCUUUUCCGGGCACACACUGUCAACAACAGCCAUCAAGCAAUCUUUCACAAACUCUCCAUCACUGAAAGGCUUCAUGCGUUUACCAAUAAGUGCACUCACAGCAAAACUAUCGCGGAUGUUGCUUUCCUUUUCCCCUACCCAUUUUGUGAAUGCUGAUUGGCUCUUUUCUAGGUUCUUUUGAAGUUCAUUAAUUUUAUCUUUACGAAGCUGUCCUUUGACUUUUGAGUAAGCCUCGUGUUUCGUUUCAAAGUGCCGUUUGACAUUGAAUUCUUUCAAAACAGCAACUGUGUCAUUACAGAUCAGACACAGGCAAACUGGUCUUCCAGCACGCAGCUGACUAACAAAGAAAUAAUUCUCCGUCCAUCGUUGGUUGAAACAGCGAUGCUCAUCUUCAAUUCGUCUUCUUUAAGCGCGCAUCAUAACAAAAAGCUGAAUGGGAUGAACAGGUAAAAACAGCUGUACAAUGAACAGCGUCUGUCUUGACUUAGCUUAAAUUAAAGGCACUGAGUCACAAUAAAAGGAGAGGGUAUACUCAAACGUCAUGAUAUUCGUGCUGCAAUACUAUUGGUUGACCUGGAACUGAUCACAUGAGCUCAACAUUUUACUGAUUAACAAAACAGUUUCCAUCAAUAGCAAGUUGUCGACAACAGAUGCCGAUAUCACAUAAAACUGCAGCAAUCACACUGCAACUCAAUACUCAAUGGCCCCAAAUAGAGAAAGCCUACAGGAUGUACCUUGCUUUUGAAAAGCUGUGUUGAAAAGAAGACACUCUUGCAUCGGGCCGCACAAAAAUGCCCUGCGAGCCGCAUGUGGCCUGCGGGUUGCCGACCCCUGCUGUAAGUCAUCACAUUAUCUGGGGGUUUAUUAAUUCAAAACAUUUUUGGAUGAGGGUUUAUUCAAGAGGGUUGGGGGCCCAAAUGAAGACAGGGGAUAAUAAAAAUGUUCUGAACAACAUCCUAUAACAGGGCUCAUGACACAAAAAGGCGGUGGUUGCCAUGCCCCCCCUUCUUUUUUGCAAAUUAAGUAGUUUUAUAGCUUCAGUAAAAGGGGAAAGAAGUCUUGAACCCCUACUUUUGCUAGCCUUGCUCCCCCCCCCCCACUUUCAAAUUUGUGGUGUGGGCCUUGAAUAGAUAACUUACAAUUCAGUUUUUAGCUUAUUUCAGCCACAACUAAGCAGACAAAAUCACAAGUGACGAUUGCCUCUUACUCCUCCUUAGCACAGAAUAGAAAUGACCAGAAGGGUCACUCCUGUCCAAACGCUUCAGUGUGAGUUUUUUCGCGCAUGCGCCACCAAAACGAGGAUGGUGUGUAAAGUUUAGAAGGAAAAGCGAAUUUCUUUGGUGCGAACAGUCACGAUCCCUAUUUUCGAAUAUAAAUUUUUAUCUUAUUUGCAUAUACUCCGAAAGGAAAUGGAAAAAAGGAAGAAGAAACCAAGAACUGGCUCCAUCUGCUCUGCUACGUCAUGCAAGAACAAUAAGGCAAAUUGUCCUGACCUUUCGUUUCAUUGAUUUACUCUAGAUCCGCUACGGUGCAAUGAAUGGUUACAGGCUGUGGGGCAGGAAAAGCUGAUGUCAAAAAAGCCAGCCUUCCUGAACAAAUAUCACUUUCUUUGUGCUGAACAUUUGAGACAAGAGGCAUUUCGUGGAGUUGGGAACCAGAGGAGAAGGC
Non-coding RNA from Rhopilema esculentum, 34428 nucleotides. Lineage: Eukaryota; Metazoa; Cnidaria; Scyphozoa; Rhizostomeae; Rhizostomatidae. The record is from RefSeq and is a predicted model, not a curated record.